Molecule: long non-coding RNA, 1537 nt
Filed under: Ananas comosus (pineapple)
Lineage: Eukaryota; Viridiplantae; Streptophyta; Magnoliopsida; Poales; Bromeliaceae
Description: long non-coding RNA (ACOM_LNC031934)
Source: RNAcentral
AUUAAUUGCAUACAGAUUUUCGCAAAUAUAGUGAAUUUCAAAUAUAUUCCUAUAGCCUCCGUUUGGUUGGGGGUUAAGGGGUGGAAUAACCCCUUAACCCCCAUUUUAUCCCCAAAUACUUUUAAAAAUAGGUGAGGUUAGUUAACCCACCUCAAAUGGAUUAUCCCGGGUUAGCUAACCCCAUCUAACCCCACCAAACUCCAACCAAACACUAUUUUCUAUUCAUAAUAACCCACUAUCCUUCUUAUUCCACCUACUCCAACCAAAUACUAUUUUUCACUAUCCUGGACUAACUCCAACCCCCAACCAAACACAAAAAUACUCUAACCCCACCUUAAUCCUAAACUUAACUCUAUCUCUGGAAUAACUGGAAAUGUGAAUCAAUUAGGAUUCGAACUUGGGUCUCGGGUACCAACCACCAAGCUCUUUACCGCUUGCUUUAGGGACGGUCGGUUCAACUUUCAUAAGUUAUUCUUACAAAAGUCCUAAUAUUUUCAGAUAUGUCUCUCUGGUUUGUUACUGUUAGAGAACUGUUAGAAAACUAUUUAUAUUUCCAAUUUUGCCAUCAUAAAUAUGUUCCUCUAAAAGAUAUAACAGUAUAAUAUAAGAGGGGUUGAAAUGUCAAAAAUUAACUAACCUAAAGUAUUUAUCUUAUAGUUAACUUAAUUUUUCUAACGGAUUCUAACGGCGGGGACAUAUCUGAAAACAUUAGGACUUUGCAGGAAUAAUUUAUGAAAAUUAAAAUUUACAGAAAUAUAUUUAUAAUUCACUAUAUUUACAGGAACCUGUAUGCAAUUAACUCUUUUUAAUUGAAAUAUAGUAUUUUAUAAAAAAUAAAAAAAAAUUUCAACUUUUCGUCCGUUUGGUUCUAACCAAACACCCACUCAACAAUAAAACGACACUAGAAGUCCACUGGGCUCGGCCGAUGCGUCCGCGGAGUUCCGACCCGAUAGAGUGGAUUAUAGCUCAAAAUAGGCCCAAAUAGUUAAGGCCCAGCCCAUAAAGGGCCCAACCCAAAGCUUCUUCUACUCACCUAAUUAUAUUGUAAGUAAAAAAAGAAAAAAGAAAAAAAAAGAAAAAGAAAGGAACAAUUUGUCAAUCAAAUAUAAAACAUUAAUGCAAGUUUAGGCUCUCCUAUUAAAUUUUAGCUGUUAUAAGAAACAAUCUUUUGAAUUUCCAAGAUAAAUGAAGGAAUUGUUUCCACAUCCUUACUUAUGUGGUAAAAAACCAUGUUUGCUUUAAUAUUAGCACCCAAAUGUUUGUCUAAUUUAGAAUGGAAUGAUAAAAUUGCAAUAAUAAGCUACCCCAGGAGCCACAUGAAAAUUACUUAAUUUGGCAUGUCACUCAUCAUAAAUAACCUUCUUCCUACAAAUGAGUAGCUCUUAAGAUUUCUCUUUGCCACCCACAUGUGAGGAUAUCAUCAGUGUUCUCAAAAUCGAGUUGAACAGCGAUCCGAAAAUAUUAAUAAAUCAGGGGUCACUGAGUAAACCAGUGGGUGGUCAACCGCUAUUUGAACCAGUAAUAUCGACAUGGCGUC